AGCGAACGCUGGCGGCAGGCCUAACACAUGCAAGUCGAGCGGGCAUACUUGUGGUGUCAGCGGCAGACGGGUGAGUAACGCGUGGGAACGAGCCCUUCGUUUCGGAAUAAUUCAGGGAAACUUGAGUCAAAACCGGAUAUGUGCUAGAGCAGAACGGGUUCUAUGACGAAGUACCGGCCCGCGUCGGAUUAUUUGGUUGGUGAGGAUAUGGCUCCCCACGGCGUCGGUCAGUAGAUGGUGUGAGAGAAUGGCCAGACACCCUUGGAUUGCGACACGGUCGAGACUCCUACGGGAGGGAGCAGUGGGUGAUAUAGGACAAUGGGGGCAGCCCUGAUCCAGCCAGGCCGGGAGAGCGAUGUCGGCCGGAGGGUUGAAAAGCUCUUUUCUCCGUGACGGUAAUGACGGUACCGGAGGAAUAAGCCCCGGCUAACUUCGUG
This 437-nucleotide ribosomal RNA is filed under the name uncultured bacterium. RNAcentral describes it as "partial 16S ribosomal RNA". It matches the Rfam family "Bacterial small subunit ribosomal RNA", at positions 29 to 507 of the family's 1533-position model. The record is from RNAcentral.